UGGAACAGUAGCCCGGUUUCGGGAAUUCGAAGUUGCCAUUAAGAUGAAAAUCUGCAGAAUUUGUUGCAGGCUCAAUUCUGUUGUCGACUGGACUUUACUUCAUUAAGCAAAUUCAUAUUGUAUGGCAUGUAUGGAAGGUAUUAUAGGCCAGGAAAUUGCAUCGUCAAAGAUGAGUUACCGUUCAACUCAUUAAGAAUACCGCUCACAACGCUUUGUUGUCUUGAAUUAAAGAGAUCAGAACCUUCCCCGUGGGAUAGUAUCCGGAAUAAAUCUGGUACAAGAAACUCGGAUAGCAUUCAAUGUCACUAUAUGAAAAAUUUCACCUUUAUCAUUUGUCAUUAUGAUUCAAAAAAGAGAGUUUUCAUGGACAUCAAAGAAUGAUCACCUCCGAGAGAGCAGACUCGGGUCAUAUCAAUAUGAAAUGUUGGUUGUCACAGUUGGGAAUCCAUUGUUGCAAAAGGUGGGAACUGCUGCUUAGGAGUCUUCGAAAAGGCAU
This 496-nucleotide long non-coding RNA is filed under the name Linum usitatissimum (flax). Its description in RNAcentral is "long non-coding RNA (LUSI_LNC006433)". Lineage: Eukaryota; Viridiplantae; Streptophyta; Magnoliopsida; Malpighiales; Linaceae. The record is from RNAcentral.